AGCUCCAGUAGCGUAUAUUAAAGUUGUUGCAGUUAAAAGGCUCGUAGUCGAACUUAUGGCCCUGUGAACCUGGCCCGUCCUCAAGUAGGACGAGUGCCGGUGUGCACGGGUCAUCCUUCUGAAGAGCACUUCUACCCUUGAUUGGGUUGGAUGUGUAAUUUGGAUCAUUUACUGUGAGUAAAUCAAAGUGUUCAAAGCAGGCUUUAAUGCUUGUAUGGUUCAGCAUGGAAUAAUAAGAUAGGACUUUGGUUUUAUUUUGUUGGCUAUCGAACCAAAGUAAUGAUUGAAAGGGAUAGUUGGGGGUGCUAGUAUUGGAUGGUCAGCGGUGAAAUGCAUGGACCCAUUCAAGACUAACUUAUGCGAAAGCAUUCACCAAGGAUAUCUUCUUUGAUCAAGAACG
This 400-nucleotide ribosomal RNA is filed under the name phytoplankton environmental sample. RNAcentral describes it as "partial small subunit ribosomal RNA". It matches the Rfam family "Eukaryotic small subunit ribosomal RNA", at positions 587 to 985 of the family's 1831-position model. The record is from RNAcentral.